GGCUGGUUUGAUGGCAGUGGGUUUUCAGAACUUAUUAAUUAACAUUAGUGUCACUAAAGUUGGUAUACAACCCCCUCACUGCAAAAUUUGACUGGCUUAAA
This 101-nucleotide Y RNA is filed under the name Saimiri boliviensis boliviensis (Bolivian squirrel monkey). RNAcentral describes it as "Y RNA (ENSSBOG00000005341.1)". It matches the Rfam family "Y RNA". From Rfam's summary of the family: Y RNAs are components of the Ro ribonucleoprotein particle (Ro RNP), in association with Ro60 and La proteins. The Y RNAs and Ro60 and La proteins are well conserved, but the function of the Ro RNP is not known. Lineage: Eukaryota; Metazoa; Chordata; Mammalia; Primates; Cebidae. The record is from Rfam by way of RNAcentral.